Molecule: ribosomal RNA, 460 nt
Filed under: uncultured bacterium
Lineage: Bacteria
Description: partial 16S ribosomal RNA
Rfam family: Bacterial small subunit ribosomal RNA
Source: RNAcentral
CCUACGGGUGGCAGCAGUGAGGAAUAUUGGUCAAUGGACGAGAGUCUGAACCAGCCAAGUAGCGUGAAGGAUGACUGCCCUAUGGGUUGUAAACUUCUUUUAUAUGGGAAUAAAAUGUUCCACGUGUGGGAUUUUGUAUGUACCAUAUGAAUAAGGAUCGGCUAACUCCGUGCCAGCAGCCGCGGUAAUACGGAGGAUCCGAGCGUUAUCCGGAUUUCUUGGGUUUAAAGGGAGCGUAGGUGGAUUGUUAAGUCAGUUGUGAAAGUUUGCGGCUCAACCGUAAAAUUGCAGUUGAAACUGGCAGUCUUGAGUACAGUAGAGGUGGGCGGAAUUCGUGGUGUAGCGGUGAAAUGCUUAGAUAUCACGAAGAACUCCGAUUGCGAAGGCAGCCUGCUGGACUGUAACUGACGCUGAUGCUCGAAAGUGUGGGUAUCAAACAGGAUUAGAUACCCUAGUAGUC